Long non-coding RNA from Bufo gargarizans (Asiatic toad), 803 nucleotides. RefSeq lists it as uncharacterized. The transcript is spliced from 3 exons. The record is from RefSeq and is a predicted model, not a curated record. NCBI's taxonomy places the organism in Eukaryota, Metazoa, Chordata, Amphibia, Anura, Bufonidae.
UAAGAUCUGUCUGAUCUCCUGAUAGAGAAAAACCACAACCGGGUCACAGAGCGGGGCGACAGCGGGCGAGCAGAGGGCGGCACAGAGACCGCAUCACCUGCCCUGUACCUCACCCAGGUGCAACCCCGACUGGAGGUACGAGUCGUCCAGCUCAAGUGAAGAGGUGCCGCUGUUCAGGCGUCAGGGACCGCGCAGCAGAUUGCAGCCCCUCCGGUUCCGGACGGGAAGCCGCUGCCGCCAUCUUGGCUGUAGAUCGGCUCUGGGCUCCGCUGAGGACAGUUCCAGCUCCAGCGAGGAGGACUGAGCCGCGGACACCUGGAUGAAGAGGGGGGCCCGGCCGAUCGGAGGGGCCCCGGACACCAUGGGGGCCGAAUAUCUUAUUUAAAUGAUACAAUUAGUGAUAGAAAUGAGUGAGUCUGUAUAAUUGUAAUGAAAGAAAGCAGUAGAUUGUGAGCUCUGGGGCUCAGCCUCAUCCACCCCCCCCCCUUACCCCUUUCACUGUAUUUUAAUUAAAAGGACGAGUCACCUUUAUAUAAUAUUAUUUGUGUCAUCAGCAAAUUAUGACUCUUGUCACCUGGAAACCAUCAGUGAGCAGGAGAGCUGCUGCCGACAGAUCCCAUUGUAGCUUGUGUGGCAUUCAAAUUGACUCAAAAGGGGUCAGGAGACCGGAGAACAGACGAGAGGCGGAGAACGGACGAGAGGCGGAGCCUCGCUGACAAUGAGGACGGCGGGGUUGUGAUCGGAUGUGACCCGUUAUAAUCACCUGCCUGAUGUAUAAUAAUAAACUAUAUUAUGAGAUGUUA